This 301-nucleotide ribosomal RNA is filed under the name uncultured bacterium. Its description in RNAcentral is "partial 16S ribosomal RNA". It matches the Rfam family "Bacterial small subunit ribosomal RNA", at positions 509 to 807 of the family's 1533-position model. The record is from RNAcentral.
CAGUCGCCGCGGUAAUACGAAGGGGGCUAGCGUUGUUCGGAUUUACUGGGCGUAAAGGGUGCGUAGGCGGACUGAUAAGUCAGGGGUGAAAUCCCAAGGCUCAACCUUGGAACUGCCUUUGAUACUGUUAGUCUUGAGUUCGAGAGAGGUGAGUGGAACUGCGAGUGUAGAGGUGAAAUUCGUAGAUAUUCGCAAGAACACCAGUGGCGAAGGCGGCUCACUGGCACGAAACUGACGCUGAGGCACGAAAGCGUGGGGAGCAAACAGGAUUAGAUACCCCCGUAGUCCCUGUCUCUUAUAC